ACGAACGCUGGCGGCGUGCUUAACACAUGCAAGUCGAACGGAAAGGCCCUGCUUUUGUGGGGUGCUCGAGUGGCGAACGGGUGAGUAACACGUGAGUAACCUGCCCUUGACUUUGGGAUAACUUCAGGAAACUGGGGCUAAUACCGGAUAGGAGCUCCUGCUGCAUGGUGGGGGUUGGAAAGUUUCGGCGGUUGGGGAUGGACUCGCGGCUUAUCAGCUUGUUGGUGGGGUAGUGGCUUACCAAGGCUUUGACGGGUAGCCGGCCAGAGAGGGUGACCGGCCACAUUGGGACUGAGAUACGGCCCAGACUCCUACGGGAGGCAGCAGUGGGGAAUAUUGCACAAUGGGCGGAAGCCUGAUGCAGCAACGCCGCGUGCGGGAUGACGGCCUUCGGGUUGUAAACCGCUUUCGCCUGUGACGAAGCGUGAGUGACGGUAAUGGGUAAAGAAGCACCGGCUAACUACGUG
RNAcentral lists this ribosomal RNA (467 nucleotides) under uncultured bacterium. RNAcentral describes it as "partial 16S ribosomal RNA". It matches the Rfam family "Bacterial small subunit ribosomal RNA", at positions 29 to 507 of the family's 1533-position model. The record is from RNAcentral.